Molecule: ribosomal RNA, 253 nt
Filed under: uncultured bacterium
Lineage: Bacteria
Description: partial 16S ribosomal RNA
Rfam family: Bacterial small subunit ribosomal RNA
Source: RNAcentral
UACAGAGGGUGCAAGCGUUAAUCGGAAUUACUGGGCGUAAAGCGUGCGUAGACGGUCAUGUAAGUCGGGUGUGAAAGCCCCGGGCUCAACCUGGGAAUUGCAUUCGAGACUGCAUGGCUAGGGUGCGGAAGAGGGAAGCGGAAUUUCCGGUGUAGCGGUGAAAUGCGUAGAUAUCGGAAGGAACAUCAGUGGCGAAAGCGGCUUCCUGGUCCAGCACCGACGUUCAGGCACGAAAGCGUGGGGAGCAAACAGG